AAACUUAGGAUAAUCUAAACCAAGG
This 25-nucleotide transfer RNA is filed under the name Nestor notabilis (Kea). RNAcentral's name for it is "partial tRNA-Trp". Lineage: Eukaryota; Metazoa; Chordata; Aves; Psittaciformes; Psittacidae. The record is from RNAcentral.